RNAcentral lists this ribosomal RNA (460 nucleotides) under uncultured bacterium. Its description in RNAcentral is "partial 16S ribosomal RNA". It matches the Rfam family "Bacterial small subunit ribosomal RNA", at positions 338 to 795 of the family's 1533-position model. The record is from RNAcentral.
CCUACGGGAGGCAGCAGUGAGGAAUAUUGGUCAAUGGACGCAAGUCUGAACCAGCCAUGCCGCGUGCAGGAAGACGGCUCUACGAGUUGUAAACUGCUUUUGUACGGGGGUAAACGCAGAUACGAGUAUCUCUCUGAAAGUAUCGUACGAAUAAGGAUCGGCUAACUCCGUGCCAGCAGCCGCGGUAAUACGGAGGAUUCAAGCGUUAUCCGGAUUUAUUGGGUUUAAGGGGUGCGUAGGCGGUCGGGUAAGUGAGAGGUGAAAUCCCGGGGCUCAACCUCGGCAUUGCCUCUGAUACUGGUCGGCUAGAGAGUAUGUGAGGUAGGCGGAAUGAAUGGUGUAGCGGUGAAAUGCUUAGAGAUCACACAGAACACCGAUGGCGAAGGCAGCUUACCAAGGUACUUCUGACGCUGAGGCACGAAAGCGGGGGGAGCAAACAGGAUUAGAUACCCUAGUAGUC